This is an RNA transcript of Fragaria vesca subsp. vesca, 1289 nucleotides long. RefSeq lists it as uncharacterized. NCBI's taxonomy places the organism in Eukaryota, Viridiplantae, Streptophyta, Magnoliopsida, Rosales, Rosaceae. The record is from RefSeq and is a predicted model, not a curated record. The transcript has 2 exons.
UGCAUCGCGUUAAUUUGGUCAGAAGAGUUGAAAGCAAAGAUGCACAGAUCCGCGAGUGCUCCCCGAGUCUCCGGGGACUUCCCGGUCAACUCCUCAUCAACUGCUUCACCGCAGCAGCAAAAGCAACAAUCUUCAACCACCGCAACCCACGACUCAGAGCACCACCACCACCAUGACGUGGAUCUGCCCACAUACGACCCCCUCUCUCAUGCCGCCAAGAAAGAACGGUCUCGCAUCAAGUCUGCAGAGAACGCCAUCCACUUAAUACCUCUCAUCCUUGCUCUCUGUGCCAUCAUCCUCUGGUUCUUCUCCAAUCCAGUUGUUGCAGCAUGAAGGUUAUGAGGAUUGAUGGUGAUAGUGAAGGAGCGGCAUGGAAUCAAACAAUCUAUGCCGAUAAGCCCCAUCAAGAUUGUUGGAGUAGAAAAACUAGCCGGUCCCUAUUGCUCAAGAAGAAGUUCUUGUCAGCCAUUUAUAUGAAUGUAAGAUGAUAUGACCCAGAAAAUUUAGUUUGCUAUCAACAAUAUUUUUAUUGUAGGCUUUUCAGUAUUCACAGUCGAGUCAGAAAGUAAGCCAUCAGAUAGUUAUUCAUUUCAGAAGUGCAGAAUUGCAUUUGCUUUGUAUCUGUUUCUGCAAGAACCCGUAGGCUAUGUAGAAGUACGAUAGAACAUAAACAUACACAAAGACACCACAUUUAUAGUGGUUCACCAUACCAUCGGAGGGCAUGGCUACGUCCACUUGAAUCUACUAUCAUGAGGCCUCAAUGCCUUAGGGUGUUACAAGUGUGGAGGUGUGGAAUAGUAAAGUUGGAUCAGUUGAGAGAUAGAGAGAGUGAGAGAGCUUUCUACAUAUAGGAAGCCUUCUUUUUAUAGCUAAGGAAGGUUCCCUCACAUAUUAUACUUUUGAUGUGGGACUAAUUACACAUAUAUAUUCUCAUGGUGCCUUCUUGUGGAGCUUGGAGGAGCACAUUCCUGUUGUGGCAUUGAUGAUCAUUCACCAUGGCGGGGUAGCCCGGACGUCGGUCUACCGGAAGUAUGUCGGAGGCGGGGCCCGCCAUGGCCGGAGCACGGUCUACGAGGUCGUUGCUUAUGCUUGACGGUAUAAGAUAUACAUCGUAUCUACAAGUUUCUUGACUAGUAUAUGGCCGGAGAAGGUAGUUCAUCACUACCGACAACAGUAUCACUCUGAUUAGAUGAGGAAUUUUUACUUGAUCAAUGGAUAGUCUUGCUAUGCCAUUCGAGUUUUGAUUUUUUUCAUUGCUUUACUAGGCUACUAUCCAGAGGGAUUAAUUU